UGCAUAUCAAAAAAGCGGAGGAAAAGAAACCAACAGGGAUUGCCUCAGUAACGGCGAGUGAAGCGGCAACAGCUCAAAUUUGAAAUCUGGCCUCUUGGGGUCCGAGUUGUAAUUUGUAGAGGAUGUUUCGGGUACCGCCUCGGUUUAAAUUUCUUGGAACAGAAUGUCAAAGAGGGUGAGAAUCCCGUCUUGGACCGGCGGUAGGGCCUAUGUGAAACUCCUUCGACGAGUCGAGUUGUUUGGGAAUGCAGCUCAAAAUGGGUGGUAAAUUUCAUCUAAAGCUAAAUAUUGGCCAGAGACCGAUAGCGCACAAGUAGAGUGAUCGAAAGAUGAAAAGCACUUUGAAAAGAGAGUUAAACAGUAUGUGAAAUUGUUGAAAGGGAAGCGCUUGCAACCAGACUUGAGCGCGGCGGUUCCCCCUUGCUUCUGCUUGGGUUACUCCGCCGUGUCCAGGCCAACAUCGGUUCUGGGGGUCGGUCAAAGGCUCUGGGAAUGUAUCUACCCACGGGUAGACUUAUAGACCAGGGUGUCAUGCGACCUCCCGGGACCGAGGAACGCGCUUCGGCUCGGAUGUUGGCGUAAUGGUUGUCAGCGACCCGUCUUGAAACCACGGACCAAA
RNAcentral lists this ribosomal RNA (619 nucleotides) under Fonsecaea pedrosoi. RNAcentral's name for it is "LSU rRNA". It matches the Rfam family "Eukaryotic large subunit ribosomal RNA", at positions 37 to 670 of the family's 3401-position model. Lineage: Eukaryota; Fungi; Ascomycota; Eurotiomycetes; Chaetothyriales; Herpotrichiellaceae. The record is from RNAcentral.